GGGAACUGAAACAUCUAAGUACCCCGAGGAAGAGAAAUCAACCGAGAUUCCGAAAGUAGCGGCGAGCGAAAUUGGAUUAGCCCUUAAGCUUUUAAUGAGACAGACGAAGGCUCUGGAAAGUGCCGCAGUAAAGGGUGAUAGCCCCGUAGUCGACAUCUCAUAAUCAGUGAAAACGAGUAGGGCGGGACACGUGAUAUCCUGUCUGAAUAUGGGGGGACCAUCCUCCAAGGCUAAAUACUACUGACUGACCGAUAG
Molecule: ribosomal RNA, 255 nt
Filed under: Vibrio sp. OPT24
Lineage: Bacteria; Pseudomonadati; Pseudomonadota; Gammaproteobacteria; Vibrionales; Vibrionaceae
Description: partial 23S ribosomal RNA
Rfam family: Bacterial large subunit ribosomal RNA
Source: RNAcentral